UUUUGUUCUUGUUUUCCUUUUUUCAGCAGAAGAUGAAGAGAAGCAUCAAUAAAAUCAUGGAGCCUGUGUGUCAGUAUUUAUAUGAACCUAAGAAGAAUCUAUUAAUAUCUCUGAGAUAUUAAAUCAUAUAAAGUUAUAAAGUACCUAACACAGCAUCCAGGACUUGGUUUGCAGGCAGAAAAUGUGAGUUCUUUUUUGUUUUUCUUGAAGAUUUAAAGAAGGAGUUUGGAAACUACUAGAAAGGAGUUUGGAAAAGAGAGAGACAGAGUGUUUCUGUACAUUGAUUGGAAGAGUCUCAGAAGUGAGUCCUGAGAAGAGAGAGAAUGAGCCUGGAGGCAAAAGUGAAAGCAUAAUUCCUCAGUCCUACAUUCCUGCCCUGGUAAUUCACAAAAAUCCUCCAGAGGGCUUUUAGAGUUGUUUAAAG
Molecule: long non-coding RNA, 424 nt
Filed under: Rhinopithecus bieti (black snub-nosed monkey)
Lineage: Eukaryota; Metazoa; Chordata; Mammalia; Primates; Cercopithecidae
Description: lncRNA (ENSRBIG00000045131.1)
Source: RNAcentral